Molecule: non-coding RNA, 280 nt
Organism: Erpetoichthys calabaricus (reedfish)
Lineage: Eukaryota; Metazoa; Chordata; Cladistia; Polypteriformes; Polypteridae
Source: Ensembl
GGUCAGUGAUGUAAAGUAAAAGGUCUGAUGCAUGGUUUCUUUACCCAUCCAAGCCUGGGCUCCCAGUUGCUAUUCUCAUACUGUUUCCAAUAUGCUGAAAGCUUGCAUUUUGGUGUAGAAUGGCUACUGACAUUUUAGAUAAUCUCUUUCUCAUGUCUGAGCACCGGUAAGAUUCUGGAGCUUUGAACAAUGAAGAUUAUCUUACAUUUUAAAGUAGUAAGGAGGACUUUGGCUUUGGGCAUUUGACCUGCAUGUGAUAUCAAGUUUUCAAGCUGAGACC